AGCAGUCGCCGCGGUAAUACGAAGGGGGCUAGCGUUGCUCGGAAUUACUGGGCGUAAAGGGCGCGUAGGCGGACAGUUCAGUCGGGGGUGAAAGCCCGGGGCUCAACCUCGGAAUUGCCUUCGAUACUGGCUGUCUUGAGUAUGAGAGAGGUGUGUGGAACUCCGAGUGUAGAGGUGAAAUUCGUAGAUAUUCGGAAGAACACCAGUGGCGAAGGCGACACACUGGCUCAUUACUGACGCUGAGGCGCGAAAGCGUGGGGAGCGAACAGGAUUAGAUACCCCGGUAGUCCCUGUCUCUUAUAC
RNAcentral lists this ribosomal RNA (303 nucleotides) under uncultured bacterium. RNAcentral's name for it is "partial 16S ribosomal RNA". It matches the Rfam family "Bacterial small subunit ribosomal RNA", at positions 507 to 807 of the family's 1533-position model. The record is from RNAcentral.